UACGUAGGGCGCAAGCGUUAUCCGGAAUUAUUGGGCGUAAAGAGCUCGUAGGCGGUUUGUCGCGUCUGCCGUGAAAGUCCGGGGCUCAACUCCGGAUCUGCGGUGGGUACGGGCAGACUAGAGUGAUGUAGGGGAGACUGGAAUUCCUGGUGUAGCGGUGAAAUGCACAGAUAUCAGGAGGAACACCGAUGGCGAAGGCAGGUCUCUGGGCAUUAACUGACGCUGAGGAGCGAAAGCAUGGGGGAGCGAACAGG
Molecule: ribosomal RNA, 254 nt
Filed under: uncultured bacterium
Lineage: Bacteria
Description: partial 16S ribosomal RNA
Rfam family: Bacterial small subunit ribosomal RNA
Source: RNAcentral